GAGUUUGAUCCUGGCUCAGAUUGAACGCUGGCGGCAUGCCUUACACAUGCAAGUCGAACGGCAGCACGGGAGUAAUCCUGGUGGCGAGUGGCGAACGGGUGAGUAAUACAUCGGAACGUGUCCUGUAGUGGGGGAUAGCCCGGCGAAAGCCGGAUUAAUACCGCAUACGCUCUACGGAGGAAAGGGGGGGAUCGCAAGACCUCCCGCUACAGAGGCGGCCGAUGGCAGAUUAGCUAGUUGGUGGGGUAAAGGCCUACCAAGGCGACGAUCUGUAGCUGGUCUGAGAGGACGACCAGCCACACUGGGACUGAGACACGGCCCAGACUCCUACGGGAGGCAGCAGUGGGGAAUUUUGGACAAUGGGCGAAAGCCUGAUCCAGCAAUGCCGCGUGUGUGAAGAAGGCCUUCGGGUUGUAAAGCACUUUUGUCCGGAAAGAAAACUUCUGCCCUAAUACGGCGGGAGGAUGACGGUACCGGAAGAAUAAGCACCGGCUAACUACGUGCCAGCAGCCGCGGUAAUACG
This 523-nucleotide ribosomal RNA is filed under the name uncultured eubacterium WR827. Its description in RNAcentral is "bacterial SSU rRNA". It matches the Rfam family "Bacterial small subunit ribosomal RNA", at positions 9 to 527 of the family's 1533-position model. The record is from RNAcentral.